Molecule: ribosomal RNA, 540 nt
Filed under: uncultured bacterium
Lineage: Bacteria
Description: partial 16S ribosomal RNA
Rfam family: Bacterial small subunit ribosomal RNA
Source: RNAcentral
UGGGAAUUUUGGACAAUGGGCGCAAGCCUGAUCCAGCCAUGCCGCGUGCGGGAAGAAGGCCUUCGGGUUGUAAACCGCUUUUGUCAUGGGAAGAAAUCUUCUGAGUUAAUACCUCGGGAGGAUGACGGUACCUGAAGAAUAAGCACCGGCUAACUACGUGCCAGCAGCCGCGGUAAUACGUAGGGUGCAAGCGUUAAUCGGAAUUACUGGGCGUAAAGCGUGCGCAGGCGGUUUUGUAAGACAGAGGUGAAAUCCCCGGGCUCAACCUGGGAACUGCCUUUGUGACUGCAAGGCUUGAGUGCGGCAGAGGGGGAUGGAAUUCCGCGUGUAGCAGUGAAAUGCGUAGAUAUGCGGAGGAACACCGAUGGGAAGGCAAUCCCCUGGGCCUGCACUGACGGCUCAUGCACGAAAAGCGUGGGGAGCAAAAACAGGAUUAGAUACCCUGGUAGUCCACGCCCUAAAACGAUGUCAACUGGUUGUUGGGAAGGUUCCUUCUCAGUAACGUAGCUAACGCGUGAAAGUUGACCGCCUGGGGAGUGC